AAUGCCAUACAUACAGUUUCUGCAAAAGACUACGCAGUCUCACAAAGUUUCGUGAUAUAGUCACGUAUUUUUUUGAUUAUUUUUUCGUGAUAUUAUCCUGAAUUUCCGCGUUUUUCGUGAUCGUAUAACGAAUUCCUGUUUUCGUGUGAUUAUCACGUAUUGGUUACUCAACUGUUUUUUCCUAUUUUGAAACCAUUGUUGCUUCGGUAUUGGUUGCGCCUAGUAGGCGUGGUUAUGCUGAAGUAUCGAGACUCGCGCGUUCGGAGAGAAAUAACGCGAGAUCCGCUGUGGCAAUUGAGGAAGGUACAAGUGCUGUCUUUCUAAAGUUUGUAAUAUCACAGAUUGAUGACAUAACCGGUGAAUAAAUAACAGAGUGAUGAGCGAAGAGAAGUUUUCGGGUUGGAUUGACUACAGGUGGUGUAUGAUUGCAUCGGAGUUCGCGGAUAUAUGACGAGCCUCAAUGAUGUGCCUCAAUAAAGAUUAACCACAUCACACACACACACACCGACAUACAUAAAAAUCCCGGGUGUCACGAGCAACAACAGAAUAUCAUCGCAAUGAACUCCAAUCCCUUCAUUUAUAAAGCAACGCGUCUGAGGAACACCUGUUCAACACGUGAGGAUUUCCACCAUACUGAGGAGCAUCUCCAUUUCAACACAACGGGUUACAUCAAGUAGACAUUCCCUGAAACUAUUGGGACUUUGCUAUUAAUCACUGAUCUUGCUUUUUAUUAUUCAUUACCAGAUCUCCAAAUAAUAUUUUUUUAUCUAACUUUGUUAUUUCUUUAUUAUUGUUAAUGUUGUUAUGCAGGAUUACACUUUGUUUUGUUCAUUUAUUUGAAUGCUUUAUUAUGCUCAAUGAUUCAUAUUUUAAAUACACUGAUACACUUGAGAAAUUGUA
This is a long non-coding RNA of Misgurnus anguillicaudatus (oriental weatherfish), 900 nucleotides long. RefSeq lists it as uncharacterized. The record is from RefSeq and is a predicted model, not a curated record. Lineage: Eukaryota; Metazoa; Chordata; Actinopteri; Cypriniformes; Cobitidae.